GAAGGGGGCGAGCGUUAUCCGGAUUCAUUGGGCGUAAAGCGCGCGCAGGCGGACCGUUAAGCGGGACCUCUAAUCUCAGGGCUCAACCUUGAGCCGGGUCCCGAACUGGCGUGUCUCGAGUUCGGUAGGGGAGAUCGGAAUUCCCGGUGUAGCGGUGGAAUGCGCAGAUAUCGGGAAGAACACCGAUGGCGAAGGCAGAUCUCUGGGCCGCAACUGACGCUGAGGCGCGAAAGCUAGGGGAGCGAA
RNAcentral lists this ribosomal RNA (246 nucleotides) under uncultured bacterium. RNAcentral's name for it is "partial 16S ribosomal RNA". It matches the Rfam family "Bacterial small subunit ribosomal RNA", at positions 527 to 772 of the family's 1533-position model. The record is from RNAcentral.